AACCAGCACCCCAACUUUGGAC
Molecule: microRNA, 22 nt
Filed under: Pan troglodytes (chimpanzee)
Lineage: Eukaryota; Metazoa; Chordata; Mammalia; Primates; Hominidae
Also listed under: 1 other name
Description: ptr-miR-634
Gene: ptr-miR-634
Source: miRBase by way of RNAcentral